Molecule: ribosomal RNA, 250 nt
Filed under: uncultured bacterium
Lineage: Bacteria
Description: partial 16S ribosomal RNA
Rfam family: Bacterial small subunit ribosomal RNA
Source: RNAcentral
GGAGGAAUAUUGGGCAAUGGACGCAAGUCUGACCCAGCCAUGCCGCGUGAGUGAUGAAGGCCUUAGGGUUGUAAAGCUCUUUUAAUGGUGAAGAUGAUGACUGUAACCAUAGAAUAAGCACCGGCUAACUUCGUGCCAGCAGCCGCGGUAAUACGAAGGGUGCUAGCGUUGUUCGGAUUUACUGGGCGUAAAGGGCACGCAGGCGGCCAAACAAGUCAGAGGUGAAAUCCCAGGGCUCAACCCUGGAACU